UUCGCUGUGUGCGCAGAGACUAGUGCUGCCACGGUUAGUGAAAUAUCGCACUUUUUGAUGGAAUAGCUGUAUGGAAUAGCUGUCAACGAUUGUGAAUAUUCGAGCUACGUGUAAACUGUCGUUAGGUUAACCUUUUUCUGACUUUUUGCAAUGAAUCUUAUUAUACGAACGGGAUUUGGACCUGUCACUUAUGACAUUAAAUUUAAUCCAAGUUCAAUACCAAAAGGAAAAGCCUUAGCAAUAUCGCAUGUGGUUCGCGUUGAAGAAUUGCGUAAUGAAAAUAUAAGCCAUUUAAUAAGGUGCAGUGUAAUACCGCAAACAUCUGUCAAUGCUAUUCCGUACAAGGUACAAUUACAUGUAAGUAUAUCAAUAUUAAUGAAAUUCAAGUCAAUCGUAAAUAAAUAAAAAAACGUUUAAACAAGAACAAAAAAUUAUUGUUUUGAUUAUUUAUUCAAAAUACAUUAUUGACGCGUUUUUACACGAAACGAAAGAAUCUGGAAGAAAAACGCGGCAGUCUGCCUCGCGAAGCGAGAUAUUAAUCGUUAAAGUUGACAACUAUUUAAGUUAGAAAACCUGUCAUAUCGAUGAAAUGUAGCGACAUGUACAUGCCCCGUAGUCACAUGUCGAUUAAGCAUAAUUUUAUUGAUAUUGGAGGUGAGGCCCGUAUUCUAAAUAAAUACCAUUAUUUUAAACGAGGUAAAAUAUGAUCAUAUAAUCUCAAAGAAUAUACUUACUUUAUUUUUUGUACCCAACGUAUCCACAUUUUUCGCUGCUCAAUUUUAUAAAUCGCUUUUGGAAA
Long non-coding RNA from Temnothorax curvispinosus, 799 nucleotides. RefSeq lists it as uncharacterized. Lineage: Eukaryota; Metazoa; Arthropoda; Insecta; Hymenoptera; Formicidae. The record is from RefSeq and is a predicted model, not a curated record. The transcript is spliced from 2 exons.